ACGGGACCUAGCUGCACACUCUGAACUGGGUUCCUCUUGGACACCAGGCAUCCUUCUUAGAACUGAGACCUCAACAGUGAACGAGGUGGGAGUGAGAGCUCCAGCAGAAGAAGGCAGGAUACUCCGGUUGACUCAGUCUGCCCCCCACCUAUUCCCAGCCCUGAUGGCCUCAGCCUGCAGCCUGCACUGCCAAAGGCUGAGGCAUGUCCAGGCUGCUGUGGUCACCUGUACCAUUUUUCAAGGGGUUGCAAAAGCUGAACUCAACACAGGGCCUUAGUCAGUUUUUUAAAAUUAAAGUAUAAUUGAUUUACAAUGUUUCUUCAAUAUCUGUUGAAUAGCAAAAUAACUUAGUCACACUCUGCGCUGUACAGGAGGGUCCUAUUGCCCAUCCAUUCCAAACAUAAGAGUUUGCAUUAGUCAAUUUGGGUGUAACCUACUGAAGUCAACAUGACCUUGGCCUUUUUUCAUGGAUGUAGGUAAGGCACAUUAAAUUUUUUACUUUGCAAAUGAAAACGGGAAUAGAUUAACAGAAGAAAAAUAACAUAGACAGUCUUUUCCACCUCUCCCUGGGCUAACUAACCCAUAAGCUGAGCAAGUGGGAGAACCUUGAUGGGUGAUGCAUACAUGCUUUUGGUGUAAUUGGGUCUGUUUUCCGGUAAAGACAGCUGAACGCUAAAGUCUGAGCACUGUACUCUAAGAAAUCCCCACAGGCUUGUCAACUGAACCAAUGGGGGAACAGAGGCUCAGUAAAACUUGGGCAUAAUCUAUGCGUCAGAGUUGAUCAAAAUUAUG
RNAcentral lists this long non-coding RNA (792 nucleotides) under Sus scrofa (pig). RNAcentral describes it as "lncRNA (ENSSSCG00070000639.1)". The record is from RNAcentral. Lineage: Eukaryota; Metazoa; Chordata; Mammalia; Artiodactyla; Suidae.